This 271-nucleotide long non-coding RNA is filed under the name Nicotiana benthamiana. Its description in RNAcentral is "long non-coding RNA (NBEN_LNC029932)". Lineage: Eukaryota; Viridiplantae; Streptophyta; Magnoliopsida; Solanales; Solanaceae. The record is from RNAcentral.
GUGGAAUCACCAAGACCUCAUCCAGGCUUACAAGGAGCACGCGCCGAGGUCGUCGCGAGAUUAAGCGGGGGAGAAUGUUACGGACGGCACUAUUUUCGCACCAAAACAGGCUCAAAACAGCUCCAAAAUGCUUCCGAAACAGUCCAGCGUGCCCCGGAAGGCCCUGGAAGACUGUAGACCCCUCUAGAGUUAUCUUGUAUAUUCUACUAGGUGUAGAGAUUUAUAGAGAUCUCUAGAACUCUCUAGAACUCUCUAGAACUCUCUAGAANNN